AAGUCGUAACAAGGUUUCCGUAGGUGAACCUGCGGAAGGAUCAUCAACAGAGGGGAAAAUUAAUUUUUCCCCGAAAUCCUGUAUUCACCCCAAGUUCCCUUCAAAAUUUUAAUAUACGAUAAACUUGCAAAAAAAGACCACCGUCGUCUGGUGGCGCUUAAUGCAUACGCGAAAACUUUCAACAACGGAUCUCUUGGCUCUC
This 202-nucleotide unclassified non-coding RNA is filed under the name fungal sp. Its description in RNAcentral is "partial internal transcribed spacer region". The stretch from base 1 to 46 matches the Rfam family "Eukaryotic small subunit ribosomal RNA", at positions 1786 to 1831 of the family's 1831-position model. The record is from RNAcentral. Lineage: Eukaryota; Fungi.